GCUGGCGGCGUGCUUACACAUGCAAGUCGAACGAUGAAAGCAGGAGCUUGCUCUUGCCGGAUUAGUGGCGAACGGGUGAGUAACACGUGAGCAAUCUGCCCCUGACUCUGGGAUAAGCGUUGGAAACGACGUCUAAUACCGGAUACGAGCUAAAGCCGCAUGGCUAUUAGCUGGAAAGAACUUCGGUCAGGGAUGAGCUCGCGGCCUAUCAGCUAGUUGGUGAGGUAAUGGCCCACCAAGGCGACGACGGGUAGCCGGCCUGAGAGGGUGACCGGCCACACUGGGACUGAGACACGGCCCAGACUCCUACGGGAGGCAGCAGUGGGGAAUAUUGCACAAUGGGCGCAAGCCUGAUGCAGCAACGCCGCGUGAGGGACGAAGGCCUUCGGGUUGUAAACCUCUUUUAGCAGGGAAGAAGCGAAAGUGACGGUACCUGCAGAAAAAGCACCGGCUAACUACGUGCCAGCAGCCGCGGUAAUACGUAGGGUGCAAGCGUUGUCCGGAAUUAUUGGGCGUAAAGAGCUCGUAGGCGGUUUGUCGCGUCUGCUGUGAAAAUCCGAGGCUCAACCUCGGACCUGCAGUGGGUACGGGCAAACUAGAGUGCGGUAGGGGAGAUUGGAAUUCCUGGUGUAGCGGUGGAAUGCGCAGAUAUCAGGAGGAACACCAAUGGCGAAGGCAGAUCCCUGGGCCGUAACUGACGCUGAGGAGCGAAAGCGUGGGGAGCGAACAGGAUUAGAUACCCUGGUAGUCCACGCC
RNAcentral lists this ribosomal RNA (756 nucleotides) under uncultured bacterium. RNAcentral describes it as "bacterial SSU rRNA". It matches the Rfam family "Bacterial small subunit ribosomal RNA", at positions 35 to 801 of the family's 1533-position model. The record is from RNAcentral.